Molecule: ribosomal RNA, 25 nt
Filed under: Eimeria furonis
Lineage: Eukaryota; Apicomplexa; Conoidasida; Eucoccidiorida; Eimeriidae
Description: large subunit ribosomal RNA
Source: RNAcentral
UUUCGUAGUUUAAUUUUACAACCAA